AUGAUAAAGAACCAAGGAAGCAAAAUUUCCAUCCACUUCCUUAUGCUGAGCUCACUCGUGCAGCUGUUUCGCUUACAAAAAAUUUUCUCCAUGAUAUAAUCAUGCCUUUUUCUCCCUGCAUUUUGAAGUUUUCGAAUUUCUAUUGAUUUCAGCAGAAGAGCCCGGCGAAAGCAGUGAUAGCUGAUUGCUGAAUAAUAAUGUCCUUUUGGUUCAGUGUCGCGAUCGCCAUCGCAGUCUUGGCGCUGGCUGUCGUGGCGUUAGUUUUCUGCAUUUAUAAAACGUGCAAAGAGAGGAGACGCCGAAAAAAUAGGGCACAUCAUGCUGGUCAACGAGUGCCGAGUAUUGAGUUUUACACGUUAAGAAGAGGAGAUACGCUAUCUACUAACAUUUCGAAUGUGAUUUAAAUAAAUAAUCAAUCUUAACGAAAAAUUGCGGAUUGAAUUAUUUGUGACUUUAUCAAGUGCGAAUAAACAAUUUUUUAUAAUUU
Cloeon dipterum is the source of this 487-nucleotide long non-coding RNA. RefSeq lists it as uncharacterized. The record is from RefSeq and is a predicted model, not a curated record. The transcript is spliced from 2 exons. NCBI's taxonomy places the organism in Eukaryota, Metazoa, Arthropoda, Insecta, Ephemeroptera, Baetidae.